RNAcentral lists this ribosomal RNA (225 nucleotides) under Triticum aestivum (bread wheat). RNAcentral describes it as "partial small subunit ribosomal RNA". Lineage: Eukaryota; Viridiplantae; Streptophyta; Magnoliopsida; Poales; Poaceae. The record is from RNAcentral.
AUGCAUAGAUUAUGUUUAUCGGUUAAUGAAAAUGUGCAAGAGAACUAUUUGCCUUUGUCAUUCUAUGAGUCACUUCCUUUUUGCGUAUGAAACCCCCACUCUCUUUGGCAGCAUCUAAUACUUCAAGUUGUUGAGUUGAUAAAGAGAUGGUUGAAUCAAAAGUAUUCCUUUUUUGAAGUACAAAUUUAUCAGAGGACAAAUCUAUAUUACUACUUAUUCCAUUAA